RNAcentral lists this ribosomal RNA (817 nucleotides) under uncultured Acinetobacter sp. RNAcentral's name for it is "bacterial SSU rRNA". It matches the Rfam family "Bacterial small subunit ribosomal RNA", at positions 85 to 849 of the family's 1533-position model. The record is from RNAcentral. Lineage: Bacteria; Pseudomonadati; Pseudomonadota; Gammaproteobacteria; Moraxellales; Moraxellaceae.
UGAACCUUAACGGACGGACGGGAUGAGUACUGCUUAGGAACUCUGCCUAUUAGUGGGUGGACAACGUUUCGAAAGGAACGCAUAAUACCGCAUACGAUCCUACGGGAGAAAGCAGGGAGAUCAUAUUACCAUUGUGCUACAUAGAAUGAGCCUAACCGUCGGAAUUAGCAUAGUUGGUGGUGGUAAAGGCCUACCAAGGCGACGAUCUGUAGCACGGGUCUCGAGAGUGAUGAUCCUGCCACACUGGGACUGAGACAACGGCUCCAGACUCCUACAGGGAGAGCACGCAGUGGUGUGAAUAUUGGACAAUGGGCGCAAGCCUGAUCCAGCCAUGCCGCGUGUGUAGAAGAAAGUGCCUUAUGGUUGUAAAGCACUUUAAGCGAGGAGGAGGAGCUUCAGGUUAAUACCCUGGAUGCUUGGACGUUACUCGCAGAAUAAGCACCAGGCUAACUCUGUGCCAGCAGCCGCGGUAAUACAGAGGGUGCACAGCGUUAACUCGGAUUUACUUGGGCGUAAAAGCGUGCGUAGUGCUGGCUAAUUAAGUCAAAUGUGAAAUCCCCGAGCUUAACUUGGGAAUUGCAUUCGAUACUGGUUUAAGCUAGAGUAUGGGAGACGAUGGUAAAAUUCCAGGUGUAGCGGGUGAAAUGCGUAGAGAUCUGGAGGAAUAACGAUGGGCGAAAGGCAGAGCCAUCUUGGGCCUAAAUACUUGACAGCUGAUGUACCGAAAGCUUGGGAAGCACACAGGCUUUAAUACCCUUGUUAACCACAGGCCGAACACGAUCUUUAAUAACCGUGGGGCCUUGAGACACUAUGGCGU